UUUUCACUUAAAUCCCUAACGUGACAAAAACGUCUAAAAUAACAGAAUAUUCUUUUAAAAAAACAAAUAUUCUCUUUUUUUGGGAUAGCAAGACACUCUUAUAUUUUUUAAAUUCCAAAAAAACCCUUCUCACUUCCACACUCACAUAUCCUUAGCCCUAACUUCUUCAUCAAGCUCUCUCCGGAUCUGCCGCACGGUGCCCUCUCGCCGCGCCUCCUCCUCUCGGCGUCCCUAUCGUCCCUUGUAUUCUACUCAUCCCUUGUAUUUCGCCGUGCCUCUGUCCCUCUCUCCCUCGCCGCGUCUCACCUACGUGCCUCCGUGCCUCCGUUCUUCCAUGCUUCCCUCGCCUCGCCGCGCCGUGCCUCCGUCCCUCCUCACCACACCGCCGCUCCGUCCCUCGCGCCUAGUUUCGCUAUCUCGCGCCUGCUCCCAUGGCUUCCAUUUCAGACAGAGCCUAGGACUAGGUUGGAUGCAGGGACUUGGGGGUUGGCCUUGGUUAUUGCAUUUCAGACAGAGCCCAGGACCAGGAAGUGGCAAAACAACACUAUUGUUGGCUCUGACAGGGAGACUUGACCAUUCUCUCAAGAGAGAUCCACAAGCGCAUCUGUGUUGCUUGGAGUGAUCCUUCACUUGUGGAAUCUCUAACUGAGCCUACGUGGUCCCCUGAUGAAUUUAUUGAAGUUGGAUGCUUUAAGUGGGAGGAAUGGUGCUGGUUCUCAGCCAAUGCCAAGAGCUAAACAGACACUAUCAAGAGUAGCUGUGACAAGAACGUUAUCAGAGAAAUAUUCUGAUUUCAGCUUGCCAACCUUACAAUAUUCUAAGGAGCAAUCUAAAUCAUGUGAAAUCUGCAGACGAUUUGAGACUUUUUAAAUCCAAGAUUAUGUGAGAAGCUUGAGGCAAAAAGAAAUGGACUUUAUAUGCCUCAUUGUUUUACAUUGUUUUAUUUAAUUCAGAGUAGAAAUAGCAACAUUUUGUAUGCCUUAUAUGUUAGAAAACGAGCGAAAGCAUAAUAAAAAGUAUAUUUUUAAG
Arachis ipaensis is the source of this 1029-nucleotide long non-coding RNA. RefSeq lists it as uncharacterized. The record is from RefSeq and is a predicted model, not a curated record. Lineage: Eukaryota; Viridiplantae; Streptophyta; Magnoliopsida; Fabales; Fabaceae.